AUGGAUGGUUCGCCUGCCGCCAAGUCCGUCUUGCUCCUCAUGGCAGCAGCGGCAACCUGGAUCAGCUUAUUCCUUGUCGCCUACGCGUUCGCCGGCGCCGUGACCUGCAUACGGCGCGAGCGGGACGCGCUGCUGGCAUUCAAGCAAGGCAUCAACGACACCGGCGAUGAACUCGGGUCGUGGCAGCGAGGGCGCCAAGAUUGCUGCCGAUGGGCAGGCAUCACCUGCAGCAACGUGACUGGCCGUGUCAUCGGGCUUGACCUUAGCCGGAGGUUUUCUUUGGUCGGCCAGAUAAGUCCUUCCUUGCUUUCUCUAGAGCAUCUCGAGUAUCUCAAUCUCUGUGUGGGCAUGAUGGACGUAUUCCAGAGUUCUUGGGUUCUUUAAAGAACUUGAGACAUCUCGAUCUCUCCUACAUAUAUUGCUCCGAUACAGUGCCUCCUCAGCUUGGCAACCUUUCAAAGCUGGAAUAUCUCGACAUCUCCAACAUGGAGAUGGACUUGAUAGACAUCUCAUGGUUAGCCCGUUUACCUAGGUUGAUGUAUCUUGACAUUAGUUCUAUGAAUCUCAGCUCAAUAGCUGAUUGGCCUCUUGCGGUGAACAUGAUUCCUUCUUUGAAAGACCUCCGCCUUUCUUACUGCUCACUUUCCAGUACAAACCAAUCCCUCACACACCUAAACCUCACAAAUCUUCAGCACCUUGAUCUCUCGCUUAACUACUUUGGUCAUCCAAUUGCGUCCAGUUGGUUUUGGAACGUAACAAGCAUCGAGUACCUCGACCUUUCUCAUACCUCCCUGCAUGGUCCAUUUCCUAAUGCGCUAGGAAACAUGACGUUUCUCCGCCAGCUAAACUUUUAUCACCACUCUUUUGGAACUGGAAACACAGCCACAAUGACAGUAGAUUUGAAAAAUCUAUGUGAUUUGGAAAUGAUAUGGCUUGAUGGGAGUCUCUCCUCUGGAAAUAUAACAGAGUUUAUGGAGAAAUUGCCACGCUGCCCGUCAAACAAAUUGCAAGAAUUGAAGCUGAGCAGCAACAAUAUGGUUGGCAUGCUGCCAAACAGAAUGGGCCACUUAACAAACUUAUCUAGUCUCGACCUGUCCUACAAUAACAUUACUGGAGCUAUACCGCCAUGGUUGGAAAAUUGCACUAGUUUGUCAUAUCUUUCUCUUUCCAGCAAUAGUCUCACUGGACCUAUACCAGUAGGGAUAGGGAGUUGCACUAUAUUAGACAUCCUCGACCUUUCUUACAAUGAUAUUACUGGAGCUAUACCACUAGGCAUAGGGAAUUUCACUACAUUGAGGUACCUUGUUCUUUCUCACAACCUUUUGAGUGGACAUGUGCCUUCUAAGAUUGGUAUGCUUGGUGAUUUGAUUGACCUUGACCUUAGCAACAAUAACCUGGAUGGCCUGAUCACGAGGGAACACAUGGUUUCUCUGAAGAACUUAAGGCACAUGGAUUUAUCGCAUAAUUCUUUCUCAGGACCUCUUCCGAUAGAAACUGGAGCUCAAUUUUUACUAGAAUUGUCUUUGUCCUCCAAUUACUUCAGUGGUCAUAUUCCUGGAUCUAUAUGUCAGUUGCGGAACCUACUUGUCUUGGAUCUAUCAGACAACUUUUUAGAGGGAGAACUUCCUCAGUGUUCUCACGGGCCUAACUUGGUUUUCCUCCUCUUAAGUAACAACGGCUUUUCUGGCAAGUUCCCAUCAUCACUUCGAAACUACUCGAGUUUGGCUUUCAUGGAUCUUUCAAGGAACAAUUUGUAUGGGACAUUGCCGUUGUGGAUUGAAGAAUUGGUACAGUUGCGCUUUUUGCAACUAAGCCACAACUUGUUGUAUGGAGAUAUUCCGAUGACUAUCACCAAUCUUCAACACCUUCAUCAAUUGAGUUUAGCUGGAAAUAAUAUAUCUGGAGUUAUACCUGAGUCUUUGUCAAAUUUAACAUCAAUGGCCCAAAAAGAUCCAGAGAACUCCGAGGACGACAUGUCUGCAUGGUACAACAACAAUGUAGGUCAAUUUAGAGGAGUUUGGCAUGUUGUGAUGAAGCGCCAAGAACUGAAGUAUGGUGCUGGAAUUUUUGAUGUGGUUGGUAUUGACCUAUCACUCAACCACUUAAUUGGAGAGAUUCCAGAAAGGAUAACUUCUCUUGAUGGAUUACUGAAUUUAAACUUAUCAUGGAACCACUUGAGUGGGAAAAUUCCCACGAAGAUUGGGGCUAUGAAAUCAAUCGAAUCACUCGACCUCUCAAGGAACAACCUUUAUGGUGAAAUCCCGGCAAGCUUAUCUGAAUUGACAUUUUUAAGCUCCUUGGACUUAUCAUAUAACAAUCUUACAGGAAGAAUUCCUCCAGGAAGUCAACUUGACACUAUCUACACUGAGAACCCGUCAAUAUACACUGGUAACAUUGGUUUGUGUGGCCCUCCUCUUGAAAGGAAUUGCUCAGGAAACAACUCACUGGAGCAUGUGAAUCAACCGAGAAGGGGCGGUGUUUAUGAGGCAAAGAUGUUCUUUCACUUUGGACUUGGAUCUGGGAGAAAUGGCAAGGCAAGUACAAGUUGAGCGAUAAAGAUGACAAUUAGAUGGUGCUGUCAGCCUAUAGUACAUAGUGGGCCCUAGUAAUAAAUGAAUGUAAACAAGUAUUUAAUUAGAAUCUUGUACUAGUAAGUGUAUUUUGUUCCCGGUGAACUUUUGUCUGAUGCAUGUAAUUAAGUGUUAUUGGUUUGUACUAAAUCAAAAGUCAACAUGUAUACAAAAAUUAAGAUGAGAAUGUAUCCUUGGUGAGUGGAGCAACCUAUCAAUUGCUAUCAAAUUGUCUAAAAUCAAUUGCCAAGUAUCCAGUCCUAUAUGUUGUAAAUUCUAGAAGUUGUUUACGCAAUUUUUUGAUCAUGC
Molecule: ribosomal RNA, 2879 nt
Filed under: Triticum aestivum (bread wheat)
Lineage: Eukaryota; Viridiplantae; Streptophyta; Magnoliopsida; Poales; Poaceae
Description: partial small subunit ribosomal RNA
Source: RNAcentral